RNAcentral lists this ribosomal RNA (405 nucleotides) under Rhipicephalus sanguineus (brown dog tick). RNAcentral describes it as "partial 16S ribosomal RNA". Lineage: Eukaryota; Metazoa; Arthropoda; Arachnida; Ixodida; Ixodidae. The record is from RNAcentral.
AAAUUGCUGUGGUAUUUUGACUAUACAAAGGUAUUGAAAUAAGAUUUUAAUUGAAUGCUAAGAGAAUGGAAGUCCAGAAAAAAACUUUUUUUAAAUUAAAAAUUGAAGUUUUUUUAAUUUGUGCAGAAACAAUUAUUUAUAUUAAAGACAAGAAGACCCUAUGAAUUUAUUAAAUUUUUAUUUAAUAUGUAAUUACUAUUAGAAAAAUUUUGGCUGGGGCGGCUAGAAAAUAUUAUGAACUUUUUAAAAAUAAAAUGAUCCAUUAUUAAUGAUUUUAUGUUAAAUACUCUAGGGAUAACAGCGUUAUAUUUUUUGAUAGAUCAUAUUGACAAAAAAGUUUGCGACCUCGAUGUUGGAUUAGGAUACUUUUUUAAUGAAGAUAUUAAAAAAAAAAGUUUGUUCAAC